GGUUAACAAAAACAUGUCUUUUUGAUUAUAAUUUAAAGUCUGGCCUGCCCUAUGAUGAUGAAUUAAAUGGCCGCAGUAUAUUGACUGUGCAAAGGUAGCAUAAUCAUUAGUUUUUUAAUUGAAAGCUGGUAUGAAAGGUUGGAUGAGAAAAUAACUGUCUCUAUUUAAAUUUUUUAGAAUUUUAUUUUUAAGUAAAAAAGCUUAAAUAUUAGUAAAAGACGAGAAGACCCUAUAGAGUUUUAUAUUUUGUAUUAUUUGAGGUUUUAGAAUUUUAAAGUUAACAUUUUAGGAAGUAUUUGAUUGGGGUGAUUGAAAAAAUAGAUUAACUUUUUUUUUAUUUUAACAAUUAUUUUUGGUUAUUUGAUCCUUUAUUUAAAGAUUAAAAGAUUAAAUUACCUUAGGGAUAACAGCGUAAUUUUUUUUAAGAGUUCUAAUCGAAAAAAGAGAUUGCGACCUCGAUGUUGAAU
RNAcentral lists this ribosomal RNA (467 nucleotides) under Conotrachelus sp. SPN-039. RNAcentral's name for it is "partial 16S ribosomal RNA". It matches the Rfam family "Bacterial large subunit ribosomal RNA", at positions 1802 to 2537 of the family's 2925-position model. Lineage: Eukaryota; Metazoa; Arthropoda; Insecta; Coleoptera; Curculionidae. The record is from RNAcentral.